UAGGGAAUCUUCGGCAAUGGGGGGAACCCUGACCGAGCAACGCCGCGUGAGUGAAGAAGGUUUUCGGAUCGUAAAGCUCUGUUGUUAAGGAAGAACGAGUGUGAGAAUGGAAAGUUCAUGCUGUGACGGUACUUAACCAGAAAGGGACGGCUAACUACGUGCCAGCAGCCGCGGUAAUACGUAGGUACCGAGCGUUGUCCGGAUUUAUUGGGCGUAAAGCGAGCGCAGGCGGUUAGAAAAGUCUGAAGUGAAAGGCAGUUGCUCAACCCUUGUACGCUUUGGAAACUGUUUAACUUGAGUGCAGAAGGGGAGGGUAAAAUUCCGUGUGUAGCGGUUAGAUGCGUAGAUGUAUGGAGGAACACCGGUGGCGGAAGCGGCUCUCUGAUCUGUCACUGACGCUGAGACUCGAAAGCGUGGGGAGCAAACGGG
RNAcentral lists this ribosomal RNA (429 nucleotides) under Bacteroidota bacterium. RNAcentral describes it as "Bacteroidetes bacterium partial 16S ribosomal RNA". It matches the Rfam family "Bacterial small subunit ribosomal RNA", at positions 355 to 776 of the family's 1533-position model. Lineage: Bacteria; Pseudomonadati; Bacteroidota. The record is from RNAcentral.